Molecule: ribosomal RNA, 406 nt
Filed under: uncultured bacterium
Lineage: Bacteria
Description: partial 16S ribosomal RNA
Rfam family: Bacterial small subunit ribosomal RNA
Source: RNAcentral
AUUGAACGCUGGCGGCAGGCUUAACACAUGCAAGUCGAGCGAGCGGCGGACGGGUGAGUAAUGUCUGGGAAACUGCCUGAUGGAGGGGGAUAACUACUGGAAACGGUAGCUAAUACCGCAUACCAUCAGAUGUGCCCAGAUGGGAUUAGCUAGUAGGUGGGGUAAUGGCUAACCCAGGCGACGAUCCCUAGCUGGUCUGAGAGGAUGACAAGCCACACUGGAACGGAGACACGGCCCAGACUCCUACGGGAGGCAGCAGUGGGGAAUAUUGCUCAAUGGGCGCAAGCCUGACGCAGCCAUGCCGCGUGUGUGAAGAAGGCCUUCGGGUUGUAAAGCACGUUCAGCGAGGAGGCGUUACACACAGAAGAAGCACCGGCUAACUCCGUGCCAGCAGCCGCGGUAAUUC